Molecule: ribosomal RNA, 426 nt
Filed under: uncultured Lactobacillus sp.
Lineage: Bacteria; Bacillati; Bacillota; Bacilli; Lactobacillales; Lactobacillaceae
Description: bacterial SSU rRNA
Rfam family: Bacterial small subunit ribosomal RNA
Source: RNAcentral
AGGGAAUCUUCCACAAUGGACGCAAGUCUGAUGGAGCAACGCCGCGUGAGUGAAGAAGGUUUUCGGAUCGUAAAGCUCUGUUAUUGGUGAAGAAAGAUAGAGGUAGUAACUGGCCUUUAUUUGACGGUAAUCAACCAGAAAGUCACGGCUAACUACGUGCCAGCAGCCGCGGUAAUACGUAGGUGGCAAGCGUUGUCCGGAUUUAUUGGGCGUAAAGCGAGUGCAGGCGGUUCAAUAAGUCUAAUGUGAAAGCCUUCGGCUUAACCGGAGAAUUGCAUCGGAAACUGUUGAACUUGAGUGCAGAAGAGGAGAGUGGAACUCCAUGUGUAGCGGUGGAAUGCGUAGAUAUAUGGAAGAACACCAGUGGCGAAGGCGGCUCUCUGGUCUGUAACUGACGCUGAGGCUCGAAAGCAUGGGUAGCGAACA